RNAcentral lists this ribosomal RNA (437 nucleotides) under uncultured bacterium. Its description in RNAcentral is "partial 16S ribosomal RNA". It matches the Rfam family "Bacterial small subunit ribosomal RNA", at positions 28 to 507 of the family's 1533-position model. The record is from RNAcentral.
AGCGAACGCUGGCGGCGGGCUUAACACAUGCAAGUCGAGCGGGCAUCCUUGGGGUGUCAGCGGCAGACGGGUGAGGAACGCGUGGGAACGUGCCCUUCGGUUUGGAAUAACUCAUGGGAACUUGAGCUAAUACCGGGUACGAUCGCGAGCAGAAAGGUUUAUCUGCCGAGGGAUCGGCCCGCGUCUGAUUGGCUGGGUGGUGAGGUGAUGGCUCACCGAGUAGACGUGGGGUAGCUGGUUUGAGAGGAUGUCAAGCGGCACUGGGACUGGGACACGGCCCAGACUCGUACGGGACGGAGCAGUGGGGAAUAUUGUACACGGGGGGCAACUCUAGUAACGCCACGCCGCGUGAGAGAUGCCGGCCUUAGGAUUGUAAAGCCCCUUUUUCCGGGACGAGAAUGACGGUACCGGAGGAAUAAGCCCCGGCUAACUACGUG